GUCUGGUGCCAGCAGCCGCGGUAAUCCCAGCUCCAAUAGCGUAUAUUGAAGUUGUUGCAGUUAAAAAGCUCGUAGUUGAACCUUGGGCCUGGCUGGCCGGUCCGUCUCAUCGCGUGUACUGGUCCGGCUGGGUCUUUCCUUCUGGCUAGGCACAUGCCCUUUACUGGGUGUGUGUCCGAACCAGGACUUUUACUUUGAAAAAAUUAGAGUGUUCAAAGCAGGCAUAUGCUCGAAUACAUUAGCAUGGAAUAAUAGAAUAGGACGUGUGGUUCUAUUUUGUUGGUUUCUAGGACCGCCGUAAUGAUUAAUAGGGAUAGUCGGGGGCAUCAGUAUUCAAUUGUCAGAGGUGAAAUUCUUGGAUUAAUUGAAGACUAACUACUGCGAAAGCAUUUGCCAAGGAUGUUUUCAUUAAUCAGUGAACGAAAGUUAGGGGAUCGAAGACGAUCAGAUACCGUCGUAGUCUUAACCAUAAACUAUGCCGACUAGGGAUCGGACGGGCUUCUUUUUUGACCCGUUCGGCGCCUUACGGGAAA
RNAcentral lists this ribosomal RNA (533 nucleotides) under uncultured Ascomycota. RNAcentral's name for it is "SSU rRNA". It matches the Rfam family "Eukaryotic small subunit ribosomal RNA", at positions 559 to 1097 of the family's 1831-position model. RNAcentral also lists the same sequence under 1 other name. The record is from RNAcentral. Lineage: Eukaryota; Fungi; Ascomycota.